GGACUACCGGGGUUUCUAAUCCUGUUUGAUCCCCACGCUGUCGUGCAUGAGCGUCAGUUACGAGCCAGUGAGCCGCCUUCGCCACCGGUGUUCUUCCCAAUAUCUACGAAUUUCACCUCUACACUGGGAAUUCCACUCACCUCUCUCGUACUCCAGUUCGUCAGUUUCAAAGGCAAUUCCAGAGUUGAGCUCUGGGCUUUCACCCCUGACUUGAAAAACCGCCUGCGCACGCUUUACGCCCAGUAAUUCCGAACAACGCUAGCCCCCUUCGUAUUACCGCGGCUGCUGGCAC
RNAcentral lists this ribosomal RNA (292 nucleotides) under uncultured Alphaproteobacteria bacterium. Its description in RNAcentral is "partial 16S ribosomal RNA". Lineage: Bacteria; Pseudomonadati; Pseudomonadota; Alphaproteobacteria. The record is from RNAcentral.